GCCCGGGUGGCGAAACUGGUAGACGCAAGGGACUUAAAAUCCCUCGGGGGCGACCCCGUGCCGGUUCGAUUCCGGCCCCGGGCACCA
This 87-nucleotide transfer RNA is filed under the name Gammaproteobacteria bacterium. RNAcentral describes it as "tRNA-Leu". It matches the Rfam family "tRNA". Rfam says of the family: Transfer RNA (tRNA) molecules are approximately 80 nucleotides in length. Their secondary structure includes four short double-helical elements and three loops (D, anti-codon, and T loops). Lineage: Bacteria; Pseudomonadati; Pseudomonadota; Gammaproteobacteria. The record is from RNAcentral.